Molecule: non-coding RNA, 119 nt
Organism: Acanthosepion pharaonis
Lineage: Eukaryota; Metazoa; Mollusca; Cephalopoda; Sepiida; Sepiidae
Source: the annotation of a GenBank genome assembly
AUAGCCAUACCAAGUUUAAACACCGAUACUAGUCCGAUCACCGAAGUUAAGCAACGUCAAACGUCAUGCCCAGUCAGUACCUAGAUGGGUAACUGCUUGGGAAUAUCAGGUGCUGUAAG